UGACCUCGGAUCAGGUAGGGAUACCCGCUGAACUUAAGCAUAUCAU
This 46-nucleotide ribosomal RNA is filed under the name Penicillium javanicum. RNAcentral describes it as "partial 28S ribosomal RNA". Lineage: Eukaryota; Fungi; Ascomycota; Eurotiomycetes; Eurotiales; Aspergillaceae. RNAcentral also lists the same sequence under 5 other names. The record is from RNAcentral.